Molecule: ribosomal RNA, 250 nt
Filed under: uncultured prokaryote
Description: partial 16S ribosomal RNA
Rfam family: Bacterial small subunit ribosomal RNA
Source: RNAcentral
UACGUAGGUGGCGAGCGUUGUCCGGAUUUACUGGGUGUAAAGGGCGUGUAAGAGGCUUUGCAAGUCAGAUGUGAAAUUCCCGGGCUUAACCUGGGCGCUGCGUCUGAAACUGCAAAACUUGAGUGCUGGAGGGGAAAGCGGAAUUCCUAGUGUAGCGGUAAAAUGCGCAGAUAUUAGGAGGAACACCGGUGGCGAAGGCGGCUUUCUGGACAGUAACUGACGCUGAGGCGCGAAAGCGUGGGGAGCAAAC